Orcinus orca (killer whale) is the source of this 1967-nucleotide long non-coding RNA. RefSeq lists it as uncharacterized. The transcript has 3 exons. The record is from RefSeq and is a predicted model, not a curated record. Lineage: Eukaryota; Metazoa; Chordata; Mammalia; Artiodactyla; Delphinidae.
GGCCGGGCGGGCGAGCGUGAGGGGCGGCCGGGCCCGCCCCGCCUCGGCCCGCCCAGUGCCCCGCGCCCCGCCCCGCCGCCCAGCCCGAGCCCACCGCCUCCCGCCCACCGGACUUGUCCUCGGGGAGUUCGGGCCUAUCCUGUCCUGCCGUUGGCUGGGGUGACCACCUCAUCCCCAGGCAAGCCCUCCCUGUCCACCCUCGGCCGCAGAGCUGCCCCUCCCCGCUGGGCUCCGGGCGCCCCCGCUCCAUCCCGCUCCAGAGUCCCAGCUGCCCUCGGGGAACGUGGGAGGAGCGGAGGAAGCUCCUGUGGGCUGUCACGGAGCCUUCCCCGUCUUUUCCUCAAACGUCUGCCCGCUGAGCACGAAAUGGCUGCCGUUGAGGAAUCCUUCCUCCCCCGUCUCAUUCUGAUGGCUCAGGAGGUGGCCGCGGGACCAUGAGACCCUCUUUGCUACACAGGCCCACAGCCAGUCGAGUGCUUGCAGCAGCCCGCACCUUGGGGACGCUGUCUGUGGCCAGCAAGGCCCCCGACCGUCUUUAUCAGGACCCAGAGGGUUGGCUCCUUACCUUCCUCCGCCCCUCAGCUGCCUCCAGCCGCUUCUGCAGCUCCUCCAGGGAGGUGUCCUUCCUCUUGGGGGGGGAGGAGAGCAUGGGACUCUCCGGGGAAAGGUCGGAAGGGGAUUUGAGGAUGACCUCAAAGCUCUGGCCGGAGGCCCUCUUGUCCAGCUGCUUCACCUCCAUGUCUGCAGGGCAAGAGCAGACGGGGGCUUCAGGAGGGCUGCUCAAGGAGGGGGCAGGCCGAGCACACACCCAAGUCAAGGUCUGAGAGGAGGGCUGGGACUCCCAGGACCGGCCCCUCCCCACAGGGACCUCUCUCCGGAAGGCAGCCAAGCGGGGGUGCACAGACGCCACGGGAGGGGGUAGCGAGGUCAGGGCAGCAGCCGGGCACACUCACCCCCAUACUGGUAGACGGUGUUGGGGUGCGGCUGUGAGUAGAAGCAGGAGCAGAGGAGUGACAGCACCGACAGCUCCUUCAUCUUCUUGUAGGCUGUGGGCGUGAGGCCGGCCUGAGCAGGCGCCGUCCCAUCGCACCUCCAGCCCCACCUCCCUGGAUGCCCAGGCCUCCCUGCCUCUGUCCCCGUUGCUGCCCCCUUGCGCCUGUCUGGGAGCCUGUUUACCUUGAUCUUUUGUGUCCCACAUCUCUGACUCUCUCCGUCCCUCCCUCCCUCCCAGAUGUUGGCUGUCUUUCCCUGGGCACGCCUCCCUGUGGGUGUCCUGCAUUGGUCUUUCUGUUCCUGUCUCUGAGUCCCUGCCCCCCUCGCUCUGUCUGUCUCUGCCUCUCUCUCCCUCCUUUUCUCUCUCUUGGCAUUUCUGUCUGUGUCUCCGUUCAUCCUUCUGUCUUUCUGGCUCUCCAUCUGUCACUACCUCUCUUUAUAUCUUUACGUCUCCAUGAUUCUUUGUCACUGUGUAUCUUCCCGACUCUCCCUUCCCCCUGCCCCUCCGCGUACUUCUCCUUCCUCCCCUUUCGCUCUCGUGGACACUUGCCCGGUUGGUGGAGAGGUUAACCACCACACUGGUGACUGGGCCAGCACAAAUGGAGAGCUUCUGCAGGCAGCACUUUCUUGGCUGUGCACUUAGGUGAAGCCCUCAGACCCUCCUGUCUGCCCCCCAGCCCACCCCCCAUUUACCCUGUAGUGCGCCCACCGUGGGAUGAAAUCAGGUUCUCACCAGACACGCACUGGCGGCUCAUCAAAAGCCAAAGGGACGGGAGCUGUCCGUUCAGCACCACAGCCCGCCCUCUGGCCUUGCAGGGUGAGCGCCCACAGCCAGUGUCCACACUACCCAACCAGAAAAGGAGAGCGAAGAGGUGGAGGCCCAGACCUCUCCACAGACAUAGCUCCAGCCAGGAAGUGGGGCCUCGAGGCACGCCCUCCCUUUUCUCUCCUCACCAGGACCCUCUCUUCCGUCC